CCGGGACGUGUAGCGGCCAGUACUUCGCCCCUAUUCGACCAUUGGGAUACCUGAUAUCAGAUUAUGGCUGAACAACACAGACAAUGAAUCAAACGAAACUAUAUUUUAUUCACAAAUGUACAAUAAUUGCAUGUAUUAAACAAAGUCGGAUAUAAACAGGAGUCAGAAAACUUUCUAAACUGAAGUUAAAAAAAUAGGGUAAUUUCAAAGGUAAAAUGAAAAUGAGGUGUUCCCAGAGUUAGUCUUAAAAGUAAAGUAAACUGCUUCGCGUUGUGUUUUAAAGUAGUGAAAUUUGCACCAUAAAGGGGUGACUAACUCUGGCGAACAGCACCGGCGUGGUGGCUAACUUUAAACUCAAGUGAACUGAUACAGUCCGUCGAGUAUUUGGAGGCCUGUGCAAGGCCGACUCCGACUGAAUGUCAAACGAUAUUCUAAACUUGUCAUUAAACAGGGUAACUUUAACUGAAACGGUACUGAAGAAAAGUUGAAUAAAUAAAUAUUCAUAAAACAUUAUAAAAACAUCGAAAGUUA
Molecule: long non-coding RNA, 531 nt
Filed under: Mytilus galloprovincialis (Mediterranean mussel)
Lineage: Eukaryota; Metazoa; Mollusca; Bivalvia; Mytilida; Mytilidae
Source: RNAcentral